RNAcentral lists this long non-coding RNA (552 nucleotides) under Ananas comosus (pineapple). Its description in RNAcentral is "long non-coding RNA (ACOM_LNC012260)". Lineage: Eukaryota; Viridiplantae; Streptophyta; Magnoliopsida; Poales; Bromeliaceae. The record is from RNAcentral.
GGAUUCGGGCACGCCAACAGACCGCCGAACAGACAGAGUUUCUCUUGUACGUUCUAGGCGUCACAAUCCAUACAAUACACGAGGUUCCAACCAGGAACAGUAUUCAAACACAGAUUGCAUAAGGUAUCGAAAACAUAAUUGCUAUGCUAUUACAAGUAUUCAUCUCAAAUUUUCAUUUUACAUUACAUUCAACUUCCAAAUACAAUCGAUAUUAUUACAAAUUAUUACAAGUCUGUUUCUUUUCAUUUCCACCCCUAAACUAGACCACUUCUGGGUACCACUAUCUCUGGUCAUAAUGGUAGGGCGCUAUCUACGGAGCUACGCCCUUUUCUCGCGCCGCCGCGCCGCUCGCGUUUGAACCUGAAAUUCCCCAAAACAACGUGGGAUGAGAACUAUCUCCAUAGUUCCCAGUGAGUACGGCCACCCAAGGGAGAAGCUCAAUCCACCAGAUCCAAAGGAGGCACUGCAAACAUGUUAGUCCAACAGAUAUCUAUAGAUAUUUUAUGCAAGUAUCAAAUACAUGCGUAUGCCUCAAGAUAUACAAUAUGUAAA